CGCGUAGGCGGCGAGGCAAGUCAGAUGUGAAAGCCCCGGGCUCAACCCGGGAAUUGCAUCUGAAACUGCUUUGCUUGAGUUCUGGAGGGGGUAGUGGAAUUCCCAGUGUAGCGGUGAAAUGCGUAGAUAUUGGGAGGAACACCUGCGGCGAAGGCGGCUACCUGGACAGAAACUGACGCUGAGGCGCGAAAGCUAGGGGAGCGAACGGGAUUAGAUACCCCGGUAGUCCUAGCCGUAAACGAUGGGCACUUGGUGUUGGGGGUAUUGAGUCCCUCGGUGCCGGAGUUAACACGUUAAGUGCCCCGCCUGGGGAGUACGGUCGCAAGACUGAA
This 332-nucleotide ribosomal RNA is filed under the name uncultured bacterium. RNAcentral's name for it is "bacterial SSU rRNA". It matches the Rfam family "Bacterial small subunit ribosomal RNA", at positions 568 to 898 of the family's 1533-position model. The record is from RNAcentral.